AUUGAACGCUGGCGGCAGGCCUAACACAUGCAAGUCGAACGGUAACAGGAAGAAGCUUGCUUCUUUGCUGACGAGUGGCGGACGGGUGAGUAAUGUCUGGGAAACUGCCUGAUGGAGGGGGAUAACUACUGGAAACGGUAGCUAAUACCGCAUAACGUCGCAAGACCAAAGAGGGGGACCUUCGGGCCUCUUGCCAUCGGAUGUGCCCAGAUGGGAUUAGCUAGUAGGUGGGGUAACGGCUCACCUAGGCGACGAUCCCUAGCUGGUCUGAGAGGAUGACCAGCCACACUGGAACUGAGACACGGUCCAGACUCCUACGGGAGGCAGCAGUGGGGAAUAUUGCACAAUGGGCGCAAGCCUGGUGCAGCCAUGCCGCGUGUAUGAAGAAGGCCUUCGGGUUGUAAAGUACUUUCAGCGGGGAGGAAGGGAGUAAAGUUAAUACCUUGGCUCAUUGACGUUACCCGCAGAAGAAGCACCGGCUAACUCCGUG
Molecule: ribosomal RNA, 490 nt
Filed under: uncultured bacterium
Lineage: Bacteria
Description: partial 16S ribosomal RNA
Rfam family: Bacterial small subunit ribosomal RNA
Source: RNAcentral